RNAcentral lists this ribosomal RNA (459 nucleotides) under uncultured bacterium. RNAcentral's name for it is "partial 16S ribosomal RNA". It matches the Rfam family "Bacterial small subunit ribosomal RNA", at positions 338 to 795 of the family's 1533-position model. The record is from RNAcentral.
CCUACGGGAGGCAGCAGUGAGGAAUAUUUGUCAAUGGCCGGAAGGCUGAACCAGCCAAGCCGCGUGAAGGACGAAGGUGCCAAGCAUUGUAAACUUCUUUUGUCAAGGGACAAAAUCAGGCUCGAGAGCCUGACCGAGGGUACUUGAAGAAAAAGCAUCGGCUAACUCCGUUCCAGCAGCCGCGGUAAUACGGGGGAUGCGAGGGUUAUCCGGAUUUAUGGGGGUAAAAGGGUGCGUAGGCGGGCUGUUGAGUCCGCGGUAAAAGCCCGGGGCUAAACCCCGGCGAGCCGUUGAAACUGGCUGUCUUGAGAUGUCGAGAGGUAUGCGGAAUGCGCAGUGUAGCGGUGAAAUGCUUAGAUAUUGCGCAGAACUCCGAUUGCGAAGGCAGCAUACCGGCGGCGAUCUGACGCUGAGGCACGAAAGCGUGGGUAUCGAACAGGAUUAGAUACCCUUGUAGUC